Molecule: long non-coding RNA, 254 nt
Filed under: Hordeum vulgare
Lineage: Eukaryota; Viridiplantae; Streptophyta; Magnoliopsida; Poales; Poaceae
Description: long non-coding RNA (HVUL_LNC013139)
Source: RNAcentral
UGGUGAAGUUAGUCUCCUAUUGACGAUAGAGUAAGGUAAAAUACAAACGAUUAGACUUUACCAACUAAAUCUAGUCAAAAGUGGUUUGGUUUGGCGCCAGAAAAGCCGCAGCUUCUCGUGCGAGGAUAGACUAUCGUCCUACUACCUGCCGAGUUCGUUGCCUCUGAAAAUGUUAAUCAUUAGGGCUCCUGUCUGUCCCAUUAUCAUGACACCGUCCUUUCACCAGCAGUAGUAAUCUCUCUACCCCCUCCUGC